AAAAGAAUUUUUUUUUUUUUUUUCAAAAUUCCAUUUGUCCUUUACUCUUCACAUUCUUACCCCUUUUGAACACACCAUUAGAAUCUUCAACAAGAAACCCACUGAAGAAGCCAAUAGGGCAAACCUUCCUCAAAAGAAAGAAAACAUGAAUCAUUCUUAAAAUGAGACAAUUUUGACCACAAGACAGUACUAGUUGUUUUACUAAGAAAGCUAGGAAGUAAAUAGAAAUGUAGAUCCUAUGUUGCUUUCUAUAUUCUACUGAAGCAUACUCCAGAUGACAUGACAAAUGAUCAUAACACUAGAUUUGUUAAAAUGAAACUUGUCAUAUUAGCAAAAAGAUGGUGCUUUAGCAUUGAGAGUGAUGCUUGACGAUUUGGGGACCAACCAAUUACUAAAAUAGCAAUAUAUGAAUUAUGAAAGUUCAAUUACAAGAUGGUUAUAUGUCACAGAAUUAUCUUGGAAAGAUGCUUGAAAGGUUUGUACUUUGAAAAAAAGGGAUAAAGUAACCAAGCUUAUGCUUCAAUUUAAAGAUCUAAAGAUUCAAAGCCAAGCUGUAAAGAUGCUACACACAUGCUAACUUGAUUUGAGGCAGGUCUGAAAGCUGAUUCAAUAAAGAAAUAUUUGGACAGCCCUAAUAGUGUAGAGCGUGUAGAGCAUGUAGAGGAGAUAGAACUACAAACCCUGCAACUACAAGCUUUUGUAUAUCCAGUAAAAAUUAGUACAGGGAAAAAACCAACAAAGCUGUUAUCACCUUUGACGAAAGCAGUUAAAUCUUUAAAUGAAAAGGAAAAGCAUGAAAGCAUUGAAGUAAAAAAUUCAAUGUACUAUUGCAGCAAAAUAAGUUGAUUUUAUAACAAAUCAGCCCACCAUAAAGCUCCAAACUAGAAAAAGUUUCCAAAUUCCAAUAAUGCCAAAGAUGCAUUACAAGUAAAAAUUCGACCAGCC
This 945-nucleotide unclassified non-coding RNA is filed under the name Hevea brasiliensis (rubber tree). The record is from RNAcentral. Lineage: Eukaryota; Viridiplantae; Streptophyta; Magnoliopsida; Malpighiales; Euphorbiaceae.